Molecule: long non-coding RNA, 2946 nt
Organism: Acipenser ruthenus (sterlet)
Lineage: Eukaryota; Metazoa; Chordata; Actinopteri; Acipenseriformes; Acipenseridae
Exons: 7
Source: RefSeq, a predicted model, not a curated record
GUGAGAGUGCCAAUGUUGGGGCUGCUCGACUUCUUCAAGAAGCUGCAAGGAUUUUGAAGAGAGAGUCAGAAAGCACAGCCACUGCUGGCUCAGGAUCACAGACUGGUACUGGGACGUGUUCACCCAGUUCUUUUAGAGGUUUGUUUAACAACAUGCAAACCUCACUAGCUGAAGUACAACAGGGAACCCCUACAGUCGAUUCAGGCAGGAUUCCCUGCACUAGAAAUGACCACAUUCAAAGAAAUCUUGUGCAGCUGUUUCAGCCAUGUGAUCGGGCAAGGGGGCAAAAGAUGUUCCAGAAAACUGGAAAGUGUAAACGGAAAACUACACACAGUGAAACCUGGACACGUGAUUUCUUUUGCUUACAGAGACCAAUGUUCAAACUGUGCCCAAUGGAGAAGACCGCAUUGGUUUACAGAAUUCAGCCCUUGGUAGGAAAAAAAUAACAUUUGCAGACAAAAAUGGAGGAUUUUCUGAACUAUGUGAAACUCUGUUUUCACAUUUUCCACAAUUGAAAGGUGCAGGAGGCUUUCAGAUGUUGAGGUCCGUUAAUAAAACCAAACAAUUGGCACCAAUUCCAAUGCCAGCCGGUGAGUACAGUGAGAAAUUUCUGAGAACUGAGAGUGGCCUGAACCAGGCAAUGGCCUACAUUCGACCACUUCAGAAAAACCUGGAGAGCAUUGCGAAGCGUGAGGCUGAAGAGUGUCAAGAGGUGGUCAUGGAGAAGUGCAAAAGGUGUGGAAAAGAUAUCCCUCUGCAAUGCCUUUCAGAACACAUUGAAAACUGUGGAAGGUCAUCUGUUUUUCUGGUGUAUUUGUCAUAUAAAUUGCUCAUUUACUUUUACAACAUAGUGGUUGACUUGUAUCUGUGGUAAAUAUGUUUUGACAUUCAAAGCAUGUAUGUCUUUGUUAACUGUUUUCAGACAGCCUGAUGACACUGAUUUGGAAGAUGAUGUCGUUAUGGAGAUAUCUGAAGAGACUCAACUAUCUAUGUCAUCACAUGACAACACAUCCCAUGUUCUAAAUUAUUACAACAAGUGCCAUGCUUCUUCUAGUGGACUGUACAGAGACUAUGUGGACCUUGUCAGUGAAGACAAUGUAUUUAGUGAUUCUGAAGAAGAGCAGCUGAAUAGAGUUCUAGAGGAAUCGCUAAAGGAAAGCUCGCAUGCAGCUUUUAAAUUUCAAAGUCAGACAAUUAAAAAGGAACUGGAUGAUGCGGUUCGACUGGUAUGUUCUUCAGCGAACAAGAACACAGUUUGAAAGGUUGCAAGAAGGACUCCGUUCUCUCGGUGUAAUGGAUUCUAUGAAGGCCCACCCUGAAACCUUUAAACCUAUUUUCUGUCAAUCGACAGAGAAGCUGACUGCUGAUGUGCUUGAAGAGCAGCGAUCUGACUGUGGGAGUAACAAGUUUGAGAGAGAAAAUGAAGCAGUAUGUCAUUGGAGGGAUUAUCUCUUGGAUGUAGAGAUGGGGAUUUGUGGAGUUACCCUGGAGGACAUCCUUGUCUUUGCCACAGGAAGUGACAGUGUACCAGCAUUGGGCUUCAACCCUGCUCCAACUGUUGAAUUUUUGCAUGAUGGUUCACGGUUUCCACUUGCAAACACAUGUUCCAGCAUAUUAAGGGUACCAUGCAGGCAUUCAUACGAGUCCUUCAGGGAUGAUAUGGACUUUGGAAUUAAAAAUUCCCCAGGCUUUGGAAGGGCAUAACCAAAUUCCUUUGCUUACCAUACCUGUAGUCAAAGGGCACAAGUAUGUUCGAUCCUAAGAACAAUGUUAUGCAUGCCAAAGUGCUGCUAGAAUUUUUAUGUUUGUCAUUUUUGUUAUCUAUAAUUCUUUGUACACUUAAAUUUAGCAAGUGAGUCACUUUUGGUUGAGAAUUCUUACCUGUAGUUAUUAUUAUUGCAGAUAUUUAGCAGACACCUUUAUUAAGCACUACAAUUCAAUUUACUAAAAUAUUAAAAUGUAAUAGUUCAAUCUGUCAAUAUUAACAUCAGUGCCUUUAAAUAAAAGUAUAGGCUGGAUCUUUUCCCUCCUAAGGAUUUUUGGUAAUAGAGAAUUCUUAACAGUUGUUAAGUUGUUCCAAGAAAGAACAUUUUACUUUUCCUCCUUAUUAAUAAACACUAUUUGCAUUUCUGUGAUGUAAAGUCUGUUUGCAGCUUAUUUUUAAACUGAGAAUUAAAACACAAAUCCAUCAGCUAUAUUCACAUUAUAUUUAACACUACUUAAAUCAAAAUGGCAAAAUACUGUGAUACUCCAAGUUGACUAGAAAUUGGCCUUUACAAACUGGGUUUAAAAUAAAAAGGGUAAAAAUAAUUAUUUUUAUUAUAAAAACUAUUCACAUUAACACUUGCAGAGGUGAUGAGAAGAGAACCCUUGCUAAAACCUGAGUGCACUGUACAAUACAUGUUUGAAAGCCUUUUCAGGAUGAAAAGGAGCGGUUGUGGUAUGUAAAGGUCUUAAAACCUACAUUUAGGCAUUUCUGUUGUUUGCUACACUUAAUGCUUCUAAAUAAAGAUCAAGUCCGAAACAGCUGCUCGUCCUCAAAGGGUCAAUGUUGACUGGAAGGAGAGGAACCAGUGUGUCCUGCAAUGAAACUGGGGGCUCUGAUUCACGGCAGGCUCCAGGUCCUUCCAUAGUUAUCAAAAUCCAUCUAGUAAAAUGGAGACAAUCAAUUUAACAUGUUAAUUAGAUAUAUAAGGUAACCUUUAUUUGUAUCGCUGAAGAAAAGGAAGUACCAUAUCAGAGUUCCAAGUCUCACAGGAAGUGGGAUUUCCGCUGCUGUAGUUUGACAGUAGCCCUUGAAUCCAUAGCUGCUGUGGGGAUUUCAUGUGCUCCGAGGAUAGAGGACGUCGGUCCCACAUAUCAAGUUCUGUAAUAAUUUACCCAACACACGACGAGGAUGCUCCAGCAUAAAUCGAGCCACUUCAAUGUUUUCAAGGCCUUUGUCAC